Molecule: ribosomal RNA, 527 nt
Filed under: uncultured delta proteobacterium
Lineage: Bacteria; Deltaproteobacteria
Description: bacterial SSU rRNA
Rfam family: Bacterial small subunit ribosomal RNA
Source: RNAcentral
GGCUCAGAACGAACGCUGGCGGCGUGCCUAACACAUGCAAGUCGAACGGAAUUGAGGGGCUUGCUCCUCAAUUUAGUGGCGCACGGGUGAGUAACGCGUGGAUAAUCUGCCCUGGUGUCCGGGAUAACAUUUCGAAAGGGGUGCUAAUACCGGAUAAGCCCACGAGGUCUUAGGAUCAUGCGGGAAAAGGUGGCCUCUAUUUAUAAGCUACUGUAUCAGGAUGAGUCCGCGUACCAUUAGCUAGUUGGCGGGGUAACGGCCCACCAAGGCGACGAUGGUUAGCUGGUCUGAGAGGAUGAUCAGCCACACUGGAACUGAGACACGGUCCAGACUCCUACGGGAGGCAGCAGUGGGGAAUUUUGCGCAAUGGGGGAAACCCUGACGCAGCAACGCCGCGUGAGUGAUGAAGGCCUUCGGGUCGUAAAGCUCUGUCAGAGGGAAAGAAGUGUAUAGUGGUUAAUACCCAUUAUACUUGACGGUACCCUCAAAGGAAGCACCGGCUAACUCCGUGUCAGCAGCCGCGGUAA